Molecule: long non-coding RNA, 207 nt
Organism: Zophobas morio
Lineage: Eukaryota; Metazoa; Arthropoda; Insecta; Coleoptera; Tenebrionidae
Exons: 3
Source: RefSeq, a predicted model, not a curated record
GUUUGCGAUAAAACUUUGUUAAUCAAUAAGGGGGAGUGCAAUAUAAUUAUGACUAACACAAACGGCUCAAAAGGACUAAUUGUCAAAGCCCAAGACGUAUUCCAAAUCGAAAUUUACGAUAACGAGACACAAUUCAAAAAAUAUUUUGUCCCCGAUAUAUUUACUUCGGAAGAUCUUUUUCCUUUAAAAUUUCCAGCUGAAUUUCUU